This 253-nucleotide ribosomal RNA is filed under the name uncultured bacterium. RNAcentral describes it as "partial 16S ribosomal RNA". It matches the Rfam family "Bacterial small subunit ribosomal RNA", at positions 524 to 776 of the family's 1533-position model. The record is from RNAcentral.
UACGUAGGGUGCAAGCGUUAAUCGGAAUUACUGGGCGUAAAGCGUGCGCAGGCUGCUUUGCAAGACAGAUGUGAAAUCCCCGGGCUUAACCUGGGAACUGCAUUUGUGACUGCAUGGCUGGAGUGCGGCAGAGGGGGAUGGAAUUCCGCGUGUAGCAGUGAAAUGCGUAGAUAUGCGGAGGAACACCGAUGGCGAAGGCAAUCCCCUGGGCCUGCACUGACGCUCAUGCACGAAAGCGUGGGGAGCAAACAGG